GCGUAGAUGGUUUAGUGGUAUAAUUGCCGCCUGCCACGCGGCAGACCCGGGUUCGAUUCCCGGUCUACGCA
Transfer RNA from Smittium culicis, 71 nucleotides. It matches the Rfam family "tRNA". Rfam says of the family: Transfer RNA (tRNA) molecules are approximately 80 nucleotides in length. Their secondary structure includes four short double-helical elements and three loops (D, anti-codon, and T loops). NCBI's taxonomy places the organism in Eukaryota, Fungi, Kickxellomycota, Harpellomycetes, Harpellales, Legeriomycetaceae. The record is from Rfam.